GGCGUUGAGGAGGCGGAUGCGGGAGUAAGAUGUAGGGGGAAAGGGUGGUUGGGGGUGACUGGGCGUACAUGGUGGGUAGGUGGUUUGGUGUGCCUUCGGUUAGAGGUUCGGGCCCAACACGGGAAGAGUGGGGGGUACGGCCAGGCUAGAGGGUGGGAGAGGAGCGCGGAGUUCCCGGUGUAGCGGUGAAAUGCGUAGAGAUCGGGAGGAAGGCCGGUGGCGAAGGCGGCGCUCUGGAACAUACCUGACGCUGAGACACGAAAGCGUGGGGAGCAAACAGGAUUAGAUACCCCAGUAGUC
Molecule: ribosomal RNA, 300 nt
Filed under: uncultured Jeotgalibacillus sp.
Lineage: Bacteria; Bacillati; Bacillota; Bacilli; Caryophanales; Caryophanaceae
Description: bacterial SSU rRNA
Rfam family: Bacterial small subunit ribosomal RNA (bases 56-300)
Source: RNAcentral